RNAcentral lists this unclassified non-coding RNA (253 nucleotides) under uncultured Cytophagales bacterium. RNAcentral describes it as "contains 16S-23S intergenic spacer region". It matches the Rfam family "Bacterial small subunit ribosomal RNA", at positions 524 to 776 of the family's 1533-position model. The record is from RNAcentral. Lineage: Bacteria; Pseudomonadati; Bacteroidota; Sphingobacteriia; Sphingobacteriales.
UACGGAGGGUGCAAGCGUCGUCCGGAUUUAUUGGGUUUAAAGGGUGCGUAGGCGGGUGAUUAAGUCAGUGGUGAAAGCCCACAGCUCAACUGUGGAACUGCCAUUGAUACUGGUUAUCUUGAGUGUAGAUGAGGCAGGCGGAAUUUACGAUGUAGCGGUGAAAUGCAUAGAUAUCGUAAAGAACACCGAUAGCGAAGGCAGCUUGCUAAACUACUACUGACGCUGAGGCACGAAUGCAUGGGUAGCGAACAGG